Molecule: ribosomal RNA, 540 nt
Filed under: uncultured bacterium
Lineage: Bacteria
Description: partial 16S ribosomal RNA
Rfam family: Bacterial small subunit ribosomal RNA
Source: RNAcentral
UGGGGAAUAUUGGACAAUGGGCGCAAGCCUGAUCCAGCAAUGCCGCGUGAGUGAUGAAGGCCUUAGGGUUGUAAAGCUCUUUCGCACGCGACGAUGAUGACGGUAGCGUGAGAAGAAGCCCCGGCUAACUUCGUGCCAGCAGCCGCGGUAAUACGAAGGGGGCUAGCGUUGUUCGGAAUUACUGGGCGUAAAGGGCGCGUAGGCGGCCUGUUUAGUCAGAAGUGAAAGCCCCGGGCUCAACCUGGGAAUAGCUUUUGAUACUGGCAGGCUUGAGUUCCGGAGAGGAUGGUGGAAUUCCCAGUGUAGAGGUGAAAUUCGUAGAUAUUGGGAAGAACACCGGUGGCGAAGGCGGCCAUCUGGACGGACACUGACGCUGAGGCGCGAAAGCGUGGGGAGCAAACAGGAUUAGAUACCCUGGUAGUCCACGCGUAAACGAUGAAUGCUAGACGUCGGGGUGCAUGCACUUCGGUGUCGCCGCUAACGCAUUAAGCAUUCCGCCUGGGGAGUACGGCCGCAAGGUUAAAACUCAAAUGAAUUGAC